Molecule: long non-coding RNA, 639 nt
Organism: Drosophila rhopaloa
Lineage: Eukaryota; Metazoa; Arthropoda; Insecta; Diptera; Drosophilidae
Exons: 2
Source: RefSeq, a predicted model, not a curated record
CUGUGCUGUGACCAGGAGCCUCCUGCCUGCUCAAAAAAAUAAAUUCCCCUUAACUUUUCUCUGCCUCGCAGCCCACCACUCUCGGUGCAGUUGCAUACAACCUGCUGUUGCUGUGCAAGUCACCGGAGCGGAGGCUAUGCGAGGCAAAUCCCUAUAUGCGAGACGUCGUCGUCUCGACGAUUUAUUUUUUUACAUUAGGCGCGGAACUGCAUUUGGUCCUGGGACGGCGCCGGCUAGCUCCCGAAUCCCCAGGGCGGAGUAUCCCCAAUAUCCCUACAGUAUCCACAACAUAAACAUCGAUAUACGCGCGUCUCACUUCACAAAAACUAUCGCUCAUCACUAACAAACAAAACAAACCAAAAUGUAAACAAUGCAAACAAUUAUAAUUGACGGGAAAAAUGUGGUGUUUUGGUGGCUAUCGAUGACUUGGCCAAGCACGCCCACCCAACCAAUGAUGCCCCGGAGGAUUCUGCGGAGGCAUCACCCAUAAUCUGCUGGUCGAAGUCACUCCUCGCGACUAGGACAGCUCCAUCUCCCCCACAGCGACAACUCACUCGCACAUUUCAGUCUUCAUAUACAUUUAAUAUCCACACCUUUACGACCAAACUUGGCCACCGUCUACAAAUUUACGCGGUCAAA